Molecule: ribosomal RNA, 207 nt
Filed under: uncultured bacterium
Lineage: Bacteria
Description: partial 16S ribosomal RNA
Rfam family: Bacterial small subunit ribosomal RNA
Source: RNAcentral
CUCGUAGGUGGUCUGUUACGUCUGCUGUGAAAACCUAGGGCUUAACCCUGGGCCUGCAGUGGAUACAGGCAGACUAGAGGUAGGUAGGGGAGAAUGGAAUUCCCGGUGUAGCGGUGAAAUGCGCAGAUAUCGGGAGGAACACCGGUGGCGAAGGCGGUUCUCUGGGCCUUACCUGGCACUGAGGAGCGAAAGCGUGGGGAGCGAACA